GACGAACGCUGGCGGCGUGCUUAACACAUGCAAGUCGAACGGUGAAGCGCCUUCCUUUUUGGUGGGUGUGGAUGAGUGGCGAACGGGUGAGUAACACGUGAGUAACCUGCCCCCUUCUUCUGGAUAACCGCAUGAAAGUGUGGCUAAUACGGGAUAUUCUGGGUCUGUCGCAUGAUGGGUCUGGGAAAGAUAUUGUUUCGGUGGGGGAUGGGCUCGCGGCCUAUCAGCUUGUUGGUGGAGUGAUGGCCUACCAAGGCGGUGACGGGUAGCCGGCCUGAGAGGGUGGACGGUCACACUGGGACUGAGACACGGCCCAGACUCCUACGGGAGGCAGCAGUGGGGAAUAUUGCACAAUGGGCGCAAGCCUGAUGCAGCGACGCCGCGUGAGGGAUGGAGGCCUUCGGGUUGUGAACCUCUUUCGCCAGUGAAGCAGGCCUGCCUCGUUUGUGGGUGGGUUGACGGUAGCUGGAUAAGAAGCGCCGGCUAACUACGUG
This 494-nucleotide ribosomal RNA is filed under the name uncultured bacterium. RNAcentral describes it as "partial 16S ribosomal RNA". It matches the Rfam family "Bacterial small subunit ribosomal RNA", at positions 28 to 507 of the family's 1533-position model. The record is from RNAcentral.